RNAcentral lists this ribosomal RNA (450 nucleotides) under uncultured bacterium. RNAcentral describes it as "partial 16S ribosomal RNA". It matches the Rfam family "Bacterial small subunit ribosomal RNA", at positions 354 to 796 of the family's 1533-position model. The record is from RNAcentral.
GUGGGGAAUUUUGGACAAUGGGGGCAACCCUGAUCCAGCAAUGCCGCGUGCAGGAAGAAGGCCUUCGGGUUGUAAACUGCUUUUGUACGGAACGAAACGGUCCUGGUUAAUACCUGGGGCUAAUGACGGUACCGUAAGAAUAAGUACCGGCUAACUACGUGCCAGCAGCCGCGGUAAUACGUAGGGUGCAAGCGUUAAUCGGAAUUACUGGGCGUAAAGCGUGCGCAGGCGGUUUUGUAAGACAGGCGUGAAAUCCCCGGGCUCAACCUGGGAAUGGCGCUUGUGACUGCAAGGCUGGAGUGCGGCAGAGGGGGAUGGAAUUCCGCGUGUAGCAGUGAAAUGCGUAGAUAUGCGGAGGAACACCGAUGGCGAAGGCAAUCCCCUGGGCCUGCACUGACGCUCAUGCACGAAAGCGUGGGGAGCAAACAGGAUUAGAUACCCCAGUAGUCC